GACGUGACUUCAGAGUUUGAUCCUGGCUCAGGACGAACGCUGGCGGCGUGCUUAACACAUGCAAGUCGAACGAGGAUGUUGACUUCGGUUGACAUUCGAGUGGCGGACGGGUGAGUAACGCGUGAGCAAUCUGUCCUACAGAGGGGGAUAACAACUGGAAACAGUUGCUAAUACCGCAUAAGACCACGAGGCCGCAUGGCCAUGAGGUAGAAGGAGCAAUCCGCUGUAGGGUGAGCUCGCGUCCGAUUAGAUAGUUGGUGAGGUAACGGCCCACCAAGUCUGCGAUCGGUAGCCGACCUGAGAGGGUGACCGGCCACAUUGGGACUGAGACACGGCCCAG
Molecule: ribosomal RNA, 340 nt
Filed under: uncultured bacterium
Lineage: Bacteria
Description: bacterial SSU rRNA
Rfam family: Bacterial small subunit ribosomal RNA
Source: RNAcentral